This 329-nucleotide long non-coding RNA is filed under the name Setaria viridis. RNAcentral describes it as "long non-coding RNA (SVIR_LNC008748)". The record is from RNAcentral. Lineage: Eukaryota; Viridiplantae; Streptophyta; Magnoliopsida; Poales; Poaceae.
AGAGAUGUGUGGUUGUGGUUGUGGUUGUUGGCCAUCGUGCCAACUCUUUAUUGUGAUUGUGGUUGUCGGCCAUCGUGCCGUUUCUUAUGUUGCAGGUUUUGGAAACCUCCCCGUGCAGGGGAGAUGCUGCCGAAAUUUUGACUUAAACAAUGCUUUGUUUCUUUUGUUGCAGGAGAGGCUUACAAGGACCGUCCUCGACUCGUCACUUUGCAGGAUAGCAAGGUGAGGCAUGCUACACCUCUAUUUCCGUAUAAUGUUCGUAUAUCACGUAACCUAGUUAGGCGUCUCCCGUUCGAAAGAGAUACGGUUGGAAAUAUGCAGAUCUUUGC